Molecule: ribosomal RNA, 505 nt
Filed under: uncultured bacterium
Lineage: Bacteria
Description: partial 16S ribosomal RNA
Rfam family: Bacterial small subunit ribosomal RNA
Source: RNAcentral
AGUGAACGCUGGCGGUAGGCCUAACACAUGCAAGUCGAACGGCAGCACAGGAGAGCUUGCUCUCUGGGUGGCGAGUGGCGGACGGGUGAGGAAUACAUCGGAAUCUACUCUGUCGUGGGGGAUAACGUAGGGAAACUUACGCUAAUACCGCAUACGACCUACGGGUGAAAGCAGGGGAUCUUCGGACCUUGCGCAAGUGAAUGAGCCGAUGUCGGAUUGGCUAGUUGGCGGGGUAAAGGCACACUAAGGCGACGAUCCGUAGCUGGUCUGAGAGGAUGAUCAGCCACACUGGAACUGAGAAACGGUCCAGACUCCUACGGGAGGCAGCAGUGGGGAAUAUUGGACAAUGGGCGCAAGCCUGAUCCAGCCAUACCGCGUGGGUGAAGAAGGCCUUCGGGUUGUAAAGCCCUUUUGUUGGGAAAGAAAUCAGCUGGCUAAUACCCGGUUGGGAUGACGGUACCCAAAGAAUAAGCACCGGCUAACUUCGUGCCAGCAGCCGCGGUAA